ACCGCUUGUCACGUCACGACUUGUGUCCACUGCCUCGGAGAGAGGCAUGCCGGGAUAACUAGUCGUGACGUCAGCACGAGAAAUGCUUCCUGGAUGAGGAAGAUCACGUGACCACUAUCUGAAACGGUGGCCAGAGAUAAGAUCGGCACAGCAAGUAAAUUGAGCUGGCUGAUAGCUGGAUGGUCUGUAAUACAUUCUAUGGGUGAUGUCCGUGUGAACAUCUCCAAGGAAUAGUUCCUCCACUAGGUGAUCCAGGUUAUGAUAUCAUAACUAACAUCCGUUUUCCAGGGCUUGUCUGCAGGUAUGAUGCCAGGACAUGUUUGGUUCACCAACCAUGUUAGGUUCUCAGCCACGCUUUCACUGUGAGGUAUUAUUUGC
Long non-coding RNA from Bufo bufo (common toad), 378 nucleotides. RefSeq lists it as uncharacterized. Lineage: Eukaryota; Metazoa; Chordata; Amphibia; Anura; Bufonidae. The record is from RefSeq and is a predicted model, not a curated record. The transcript has 3 exons.